CAGGCUCCAUGCAGGGAGCCCGACGUGGGACUUGAUCCCGGGACUCCAGGAUCACACCCUGGGUCAAAGGCAGGCGCCAAACCGCUGAGCCACCCAGGGAUCCCCUGUUUUAUUCAUUUUUAUGUUUCCAGUAACUAAAACGGAGUUUGGCACAAAAACUUGUGUGACUCCAACACCUGUGCCUACAUACUGACAGUUCACUGUGAAGAAGUUGAAAAGACUGAAUGUCCAUAUUCUUCCCACUUCUGACCGAGCUCAAGGUGAUGAGCAAGGGACACUGCUAGUAUUUGUGAACUCCGCUGGCAAGACUAAGGCUUCAAGGCAAACUCCACAAGUUACAAUAACUUUGGCACUUGGACUUGUGCAUCUAUGUUGCAAGGCUGGUUAUGGCAAACUCUGAUCCCAGGUUUCAUGCCUUGGUGUUCAAGGUUUCCAGGUACUAGAUCUGUACCUUCUUUUCCUGUCCUCUUUCCCAAAUGACAAUAAUACAGAACUUAGUAUUUUUCACGUAUUAAAAUUCAGUAUAGGGAAAAGACCAGGAUUAAUAUCCUAAGAAUAGGAAUUACAGGGGCACCUGGCUGGCUCUGUUCGUGGAGCUUGCGACUUGUGAUCUCAGGGUUGUGAGUUCCAGCCCCAUGUUGGGUGUGGAGAUUACUUAAAAAUAUAAUCUUAACAAAAACAAAAAGAACAGGAAUUACAACGUGAGUACAUUAAAAUCUACUUGUUUAGAUUUAAAAGUUAACUUAAAAAGUGGUUAUUUAUUUGAUGGUUCUUUAGCUGUUUAAUGUUACAGAUAUUUUUCAAUCAAAGAUAUAAAAGUACUUAUUCAGGAAGAGCCAGCACCUGAAUCUAAGGCAAGAUUCAUGUAUUUCAUGGCCUUGUAAAUAAAUAUACAGAAAAGCUUUUCAAAGUAAAAUCUGUGAAACUAAAAAAAUAAAAUGAUAACUCUGUGACA
This is a long non-coding RNA of Canis lupus familiaris (dog), 955 nucleotides long. RefSeq lists it as uncharacterized. The record is from RefSeq and is a predicted model, not a curated record. Lineage: Eukaryota; Metazoa; Chordata; Mammalia; Carnivora; Canidae. The transcript is spliced from 2 exons.